This 1061-nucleotide ribosomal RNA is filed under the name Prymnesium parvum. RNAcentral's name for it is "partial Bacterial large subunit ribosomal RNA". It matches the Rfam family "Bacterial large subunit ribosomal RNA", at positions 715 to 1839 of the family's 2925-position model. The record is from RNAcentral. Lineage: Eukaryota; Haptophyta; Prymnesiales; Prymnesiaceae.
GCGAAACCGUGUGAUCUACCCAUGGGCAGGCUGAAGCUGUAGUAACAUACAGUGGAGGGCCGAACCGGUUGACGUUGAAAAGUCUUCGGAUGACCUGUGGGUAGGGGUGAAAGGCCAAUCAAACUCGGAAAUAGCUCGUACUCCCCGAAAUGCAUUUAGGUGCAGCGUUGAUCCAUAGUUUUAUAGAGGUAGAGCUACUGAUUGGAUGCGGGGGCUUCACCGCCUACCAAUUCCUGACAAACUCCGAAUGCUAUGAAAUGUUAAUCAGCAGUGAGGGCAUGGGUGCUAAGGUCCAUGUCCGAGAGGGAAAGAACCCAGACCAUCAGCUAAGGUCCCAAAAUAUAUGUUAAGUUGAAAUAACGAGGUUGGACUGCCCAGACAGCUAGGAUGUUGGCUUGGAAGCAGCCAUUCAUUUAAAGAGUGCGUAACAGCUCACUAGUCGAGCGGUCCGGCAUGGAUAAUAAUCGGGCAUAAACAUAUUACCGAAGCUAUGGCAUCGAAAGAUGGGUAGGGGAGCAUUGUAGUGUCGUCGAAGGUGUGUCGUGAGGCAUGCUGGAGAAGCUACAAAAGAAAAUGUAGGCAUAAGUAACGAUAAUGCGGGCGAGAAACCCGCACUCCGAAAAACCAAGGUUUCCUCAGCUAUGCUAAUCAGCUGAGGGUCAGUCGGGGCCUAAGGCGAACCCGAAAGGGACAGUCGAUGGACAACGGGUUAAUAUUCCCGUACCCGCUCACAUUAAAAGCGACGGAGGCGCGGCGUUGGUGCGCACUGACAGAAUAGUGCGUUGAACUCUACGAAAGUAGAGGAUAGUACGAUGAGGCUACGGCCAAGUCGAUAAUCCAGCAUAGCGACUUCCUAGAAAAGCAAGUGAAGCGGCCCGUACCGUAAACCGACACAGGUAGUCGAGGAGAGUAUCCUAAGGUGCUCGAGUGAUCCGUGGUUAAGGAACUAGGCAAAUUAGCCCUGUAACUUCGGGAGAAAGGGCCCCCUCUUCGGAGGGGCGCAGUGAAAUGGCCCAGGCGACUGUUUAGCAAAAACACAGGACUAUGCUAAGUUGAAAGAC